Molecule: ribosomal RNA, 460 nt
Filed under: uncultured bacterium
Lineage: Bacteria
Description: partial 16S ribosomal RNA
Rfam family: Bacterial small subunit ribosomal RNA
Source: RNAcentral
CCUACGGGCGGCAGCAGUGAGGAAUAUUGGUCAAUGGACGCUAGCCUGAACCAGCCAAGUAGCGUGAAGGAUGACUGCCCUAUGGGUUGUAAACUUCUUUUAUAUGGGAAUAAAAUGCAGUAUGUAUACUGCUUUGCAUGUACCUUAUGAAUAAGGAUCGGCUAACUCCGUGCCAGCAGCCGCGGUAAUACGGAGGAUCCGAGCGUUAUCCGGAUUUAUUGGGUUUAAAGGGAGCGUAGGCGGGUUGUUAAGUCAGUUGUGAAAGUUUGCGGCUCAACCGUAAAAUUGCAGUUGAUACUGGCAGCCUUGAGUACAGUAGAGGUAGGCGGAAUUCGUGGUGUAGCGGUGAAAUGCUUAGAUAUCACGAAGAACUCCGAUUGCGAAGGCAGCCUGCUGGACUGUAACUGACGCUGAUGCUCGAAAGUGUGGGUAUCAAACAGGAUUAGAUACCCUUGUAGUC